AGGGAGCAAUGCCAGUUGAUGACCAAGUUCUCGAGAAGCUAGAAAUGUCGUAUGAUAGAGACCAUCCAACGGUAGAGAGACAAUCAAUCUUUCCAACAAUGAAAGAUUGUAGGAGCCUAGGAGAGCUGUGAAGUAGUGGGCAAUGCAUGAAGAAUUUCCCAUUACUUUUCAACCCCUCUACAACCUUUCAUUGUUGGAAAGAUGUAUUUUCUCUCUACUGUUGGAUGGUCCCUAUCAUAUGAAAUUCUGGCUCCUCGGAAUUUGGUCAUCAACUGGCAUUGCUUCCU
Non-coding RNA from Brachypodium distachyon (stiff brome), 287 nucleotides. The record is from RefSeq and is marked provisional. NCBI's taxonomy places the organism in Eukaryota, Viridiplantae, Streptophyta, Magnoliopsida, Poales, Poaceae.